GCACUGGUGGCUCAGUGGUAGAGCGUCGCACUCGUAAUGCGAAGGUCGUGGGUUCAAUCCCCAUCCGGUGCA
Aspergillus heteromorphus CBS 117.55 is the source of this 72-nucleotide non-coding RNA. Lineage: Eukaryota; Fungi; Ascomycota; Eurotiomycetes; Eurotiales; Aspergillaceae. The record is from the annotation of a RefSeq genome assembly.